GACGAACCGUGCGAACGUUAUUCGGAAUCACUGGGCUUAAAGGGCGCGUAGGCGGGUAGCCAAGUCUAGGGUGAAAUACUCCAGCUUAACUGGAGAACUGCCCAAGAUACUGGUUGUCUCGAGGGGGGUAGGGGAGUACGGAACGUUUGGUGGAGCGGUGAAAUGCGUUGAUAUCAAACGGAACUCCGGUGGCGAAGGCGGUACUCUGGACCCCAUCUGACGCUGAGGCGCGAAAGCCAGGGGAGCGAACGGG
This 253-nucleotide ribosomal RNA is filed under the name uncultured bacterium. Its description in RNAcentral is "partial 16S ribosomal RNA". It matches the Rfam family "Bacterial small subunit ribosomal RNA", at positions 524 to 776 of the family's 1533-position model. The record is from RNAcentral.